Molecule: unclassified non-coding RNA, 216 nt
Filed under: Hevea brasiliensis (rubber tree)
Lineage: Eukaryota; Viridiplantae; Streptophyta; Magnoliopsida; Malpighiales; Euphorbiaceae
Source: RNAcentral
AGUAUGGUCACUGGGAAGUCGUUCAGAUUCUCAUUCUUUUCAUGGCCAAUAUUCAUAAGGCUGAUUAUCUCAACGGGGGUACAUCACUUCAUUUAGCUGCUCUAAAUGGACAUUCUCGAUGUAUACGGCUUCUCCUUGCUGAUUAUAUUCCCAGCAUCCCUAAUUUCUGCAAUGUCAUGAGAAAGAGAUCAAAAAACGAAGACUCUAUCCAAGAAU